This 77-nucleotide transfer RNA is filed under the name Bacillota bacterium. RNAcentral describes it as "tRNA-Met". It matches the Rfam family "tRNA". Rfam says of the family: Transfer RNA (tRNA) molecules are approximately 80 nucleotides in length. The record is from RNAcentral. Lineage: Bacteria; Bacillati; Bacillota.
GGCGGUCUAGCUCAGUUGGCUAGAGCACACGGUUCAUACCCGUGGUGUCAUAAGUUCAAAUCUUAUUACCGCUACCA